UGUAAUGCAAUUUCCUGAACAGACCUAAAAACCAUGUCGAAGAGACUCGAAUCAGAACAGUAUUAUGUUACAUUUGAGAUGUUUAUUGCCGAUGUCAAGAGAAUGUUUGCAAAUGCUCGGACCUAUAACUCCCCUGAGACAAUCUAUUACAAGUGUUCAACCAGGCUUGAAAACUAUUUCUCAAACAAAGUUCAGGCCACUAUUCAACAAACAUCCAAUAAGAAUCCUUAGGUGAGGGCUUGUUUGACCUAAUUUUUCAUCCAGAUCCAGCAGGUCUUCUGUGAUAAAAUGAUGAACAGAGCUCAAGAUGCAGUAAGGUUUUAGAGAAAAAAAUUGCUAAUGUUGUAUCUGUAAAUUAGGGUUUAGAGCUUGUUAAUCUCUCUCUUCAUCUUCUCUGUGCCAAAAUUCUACACUGUAUUUAUUCCUCUCGUUGUAAGUGUUCAAGCUCCAUUUUCGAACUUGGAUUGAAGGAAGUAGAAUGCAAUUGAAAUCGACCAAUUUUAUGCCA
Molecule: long non-coding RNA, 508 nt
Organism: Dendrobium catenatum
Lineage: Eukaryota; Viridiplantae; Streptophyta; Magnoliopsida; Asparagales; Orchidaceae
Exons: 2
Source: RefSeq, a predicted model, not a curated record